AAGUCGUAACAAGGUUUCCGUAGGUGAACCUGCGGAAGGAUCAUUACCAAGUGCCCGGUAUAGGUAUGCCUACCAGCUGCCUCUAUCGCGUGCCAUCCUUACCACCCUUGUCUAUGUAUACCUUUGUUAUCCCUCGGCUAGGUUCGCGUAACCCAGCCGGUCGGGACCCUAAACACCCUUGUAAUUAAGCAUUCUAUUUUCUGAUACCCUUUAAAAAAGUAACAACUUUCAACAAUGGAUCUCUUGGUUCUG
RNAcentral lists this unclassified non-coding RNA (252 nucleotides) under Dendryphiella paravinosa. RNAcentral's name for it is "partial internal transcribed spacer region". The stretch from base 1 to 46 matches the Rfam family "Eukaryotic small subunit ribosomal RNA", at positions 1786 to 1831 of the family's 1831-position model. The record is from RNAcentral. Lineage: Eukaryota; Fungi; Ascomycota; Dothideomycetes; Pleosporales; Dictyosporiaceae.